Non-coding RNA from Schistosoma haematobium, 45 nucleotides. The record is from Rfam. Lineage: Eukaryota; Metazoa; Platyhelminthes; Trematoda; Strigeidida; Schistosomatidae.
AUCCAGCUGACGAGUCCCAAAUAGGACGAAACGCACGGCUUGGAU